GGUAAAGAUGACGGUGCUUUUUAUUUCUGACACCUCUUGUUUGACAAGAGCGUUCAAAACGUUCUUCCAUGAGCACAUUAAGCAAACCUCUGAGCC
Molecule: small nucleolar RNA, 96 nt
Filed under: Solanum lycopersicum (tomato)
Lineage: Eukaryota; Viridiplantae; Streptophyta; Magnoliopsida; Solanales; Solanaceae
Description: Small nucleolar RNA snoR1
Rfam family: Small nucleolar RNA snoR1
About the family: snoR1 is a member of the C/D class of snoRNA which contain the C (UGAUGA) and D (CUGA) box motifs. Most of the members of the box C/D family function in directing site-specific 2'-O-methylation of substrate RNAs.
Source: Rfam by way of RNAcentral